RNAcentral lists this ribosomal RNA (482 nucleotides) under uncultured bacterium. Its description in RNAcentral is "partial 16S ribosomal RNA". It matches the Rfam family "Bacterial small subunit ribosomal RNA", at positions 30 to 507 of the family's 1533-position model. The record is from RNAcentral.
AUUGAACGCUGGCGGCAUGCCUUACACAUGCAAGUCGAACGGUAACAGGUCUUCGGAUGCUGACGAGUGGCGAACGGGUGAGUAAUACAUCGGAACGUGCCCGAUCGUGGGGGAUAACGAGGCGAAAGCUUUGCUAAUACCGCAUACGAUCUACGGAUGAAAGCGGGGGAUCUUCGGACCUCGCGCGGACGGAGCGGCCGAUGGCAGAUGAGGUAGUUGGUGGGAUAAAAGCUUACCAAGCCGACGAUCUGUAGCUGGUCUGAGAGGAUGAUCAGCCACACUGGGACUGAGACACGGCCCAGACUCCUACGGGAGGCAGCAGUGGGGAAUUUUGGACAAUGGGCGAAAGCCUGAUCCAGCCAUGCCGCGUGCAGGAUGAAGGCCUUCGGGUUGUAAACUGCUUUUGUACGGAACGAAAAGCCUCUUUCUAAUAAAGAGGGGUCAUGACGGUACCGUAAGAAUAAGCACCGGCUAACUACGUG